CUGGGGAGUACGUCGCAAGAUUAAACUCAAGGAAUUGACGGGGACCCGCACAAGCGGUGGAUGAUGUGGAUUAAUUCGAUGCAACGCGAAAAACCUUACCUACCCUUGACAUGCCAGGAACCCUGCUGAGAGGUGGGGGUGCUCGAAAGAGAGCCUGGGCACAGGUGCUGCAUGGCUGUCGUCAGCUCGUGUCGUGAGAUGUUGGGUUAAGUCCCGCAACGAGCGCAACCCUUGUCAUUAGUUGCCAUCAUUUAGUUGGGCACUCUAAUGAGACUGCCGGUGACAAACCGGAGGAAGGUGGGGAUGACGUCAAGUCCUCAUGGCCCUUAUGGGUAGGGCUUCACACGUCAUACAAUGGUCGGUACAGAGGGUUGCCAAGCCGCGAGGUGGAGCCAAUCCCAGAAAGCCGAUCGUAGUCCGGAUCGUAGUCUGCAACUCGGCUGCGUGAAGUCGGAAUCGCUAGUAAUCGUGGAUCAGCAUGCCACGGUGAUACGUUCCCGGGUCUUGUACACACCGCCCGUCACACCAUGGGAGUGGGUUUCACCAGAAGUAGGUAGCCUAACCGCGAGGGGGCGCUUACCACGGUGGGAUUCAUGACUGG
This 601-nucleotide ribosomal RNA is filed under the name uncultured Gammaproteobacteria bacterium. RNAcentral's name for it is "bacterial SSU rRNA". It matches the Rfam family "Bacterial small subunit ribosomal RNA", at positions 873 to 1478 of the family's 1533-position model. The record is from RNAcentral. Lineage: Bacteria; Pseudomonadati; Pseudomonadota; Gammaproteobacteria.